Molecule: non-coding RNA, 159 nt
Organism: Blastochloris viridis
Lineage: Bacteria; Pseudomonadati; Pseudomonadota; Alphaproteobacteria; Hyphomicrobiales; Blastochloridaceae
Rfam family: 6S / SsrS RNA
About the family: E. coli 6S RNA was the first non coding RNA to be sequenced, but its function was unknown until recently. It consists of 184 nucleotides that fold into an extended hairpin structure with a large single-stranded internal bulge. The 6S RNA specifically associates with RNA polymerase holoenzyme containing the sigma70 specificity factor.
Source: Rfam
GCGGGGCUGCGAGGUGCGUUCAGGAGACACGUAUCCCCGGGGCCUUAUCGAUCCGAAUGGGAGCUGUCCCUGUCCGGACCCGUGGGUCCGGGCAAACGGCGCCCACCUACUCUGUAGGUAUCCCGGGAUCGAUACUCCGACGGCCAUCGUGGCUCCGCA